AUGGCUGGCCAGUUCGCCAAGCCGAGGUCCGGUAACUUUGAAGAGAAGGAUGGGGUUAAGCUGCCCAGUUACAGGAGAAACAACAUCAAGGGCGACGCGUUUGAUCUGAAGGGCCGCGUCUGUCCCAGAAGGAUGAUCAGGACGUACGCGUAGUCGGUGGCGACGCUCAGCUUGCUGCGUGCUAUCGCGACGGGAGGUUACAUAACUAUGAGGCGGGUCAUCCAGUGGAACCUUGAUUUCAUGGAUCACAAUGAGUAGGGAGACAUGUGA
This 270-nucleotide ribosomal RNA is filed under the name Triticum aestivum (bread wheat). RNAcentral's name for it is "partial small subunit ribosomal RNA". The record is from RNAcentral. Lineage: Eukaryota; Viridiplantae; Streptophyta; Magnoliopsida; Poales; Poaceae.